GGCCAUCAUUCGACUCUGUAAAAAUCUUUAGAAUAGGUUAAUUAGGCAGGGAAGGAAAAGGAAGAAGAGGGUGGUAAUGGGGCCAGGAGAGGUAGAAGGUAACCAAGGGUUGUAGAAGCUUGAGAGUGUAAGAGUUUGACUCAGGCUGGUGAGUAAAGGGUUAGAACACAGUGGUUGAGAAGGUCAGAGAGGUUGUAUGAGGACUGUACCUGUAAUGGCUGGUGGAGAACAAUUUUUUGGGCUUCAGAGAUAAGGAACGCAGCCAAUGCUAGGACCUGUAAGCAAAGAGGCUAGAAAGCCCAGCCUUUUAUCACAAGCACCAGACAAUUUGGACAAAUAAGCACCAGAAUGGAGGGAGUCCCCAGCUGAUUGUGCAAGUAGUCCUAAUGCUUGUCCUGUUUUGCUGGUUAAGCAUAGAAAGAAACGUCUAUUAGGGUUAGGUAGAGUCAAAGCAGGUGCCUUGAAAAAUACUCGCUUAAGGGCCCAGAAAGAAACAGUAAUUAAGUCUGUUUCUGGAACACUUUCUUGGGGAUCCCCAUAGGAGGCCUUAUAAAGGGGUUUUGCAGUGAGUGAGAAAUUUGGGAUCCAGAGUCUAAAAUAUCUAAGAAGCCCCAGGAAGGAAAGAAGAUCUUGCUUUCUGGUGGGUAAAGGGAGAUUAUCAAUAGCUUAGGUUUGGAAGGUGGGUAUGCAGCAAGUGGUAGGGUUGAGUUCAAUGCUAAGAUAGGUGACUUUUGCUGCGCCGGUUGAGCUUUGUUUUCUGAGACAUGGUAUUCCUUCUUCCCCAGGAAUCCAAGAAGGCAGAUAGUGUGGGAUAUAGAAUCAUUUUUUGAGGUGCUGCAAAGCAAGAUGUCAUCAACAUAUUGGAGCAGGAGGCUAGAGGUGAAGGUGAAAAGUUGUUGGGAAUCAGGGCUUAGAGAAAUAGUAAAGAAGACAUCUUUGAGGUUUAGGUUAUUUUCUUCUAUAGUCCCUGUGGCCUGGAUCUGCCCCCUGGCUGCAGAUGCUGCAUGAUGAUUGCUCUGAACUUCCUACCCAUUCAGCUAUAGAUUGCCUGUGGAAUUGGUGAGCUAUGGACUUAAUCUGCAUAGGACUUUGAACCUAGGAAGUGCCAAGAGCUUUGUGCACGACUUUGUGUCAGCAACAGGAGAAUCAGUGUGGCAGCUGAAGGAAUGUGGAAGCAAAUGCAGGAGUCCAAAGAUGUUUGCUGACUGAACCGUAUCACCCUGCCACACCUGACCGACCCGCGGUGUGCGCGGGACCGCUGCGACUAGUGGACCACCCACGAGCCAUCCCCUGGAGAUGGGAAGGGGCC
Manis pentadactyla (Chinese pangolin) is the source of this 1309-nucleotide long non-coding RNA. RefSeq lists it as uncharacterized. The transcript has 5 exons. The record is from RefSeq and is a predicted model, not a curated record. Lineage: Eukaryota; Metazoa; Chordata; Mammalia; Pholidota; Manidae.